GGGGGGGGGGGGGGGGGGGCCGAGCACAUGCAAGGCGGGCGGGGGAAGGGAGCUGGCGCCUGGAUUCAGCGGCGGACGGGUGAGUAAUGCCUAGGAAUCUGCCUGGUAGUGGGGGAUAACGUCCGGAAACGGGCGCUAAUACCGCAUACGUCCUGAGGGAGAAAGUGGGGGAUCUUCGGACCUCACGCUAUCAGAUGAGCCUAGGUCGGAUUAGCUAGUUGGUGGGGUAAAGGCCUACCAAGGCGACGAUCCGUAACUGGUCUGAGAGGAUGAUCAGUCACACUGGAACUGAGACACGGUCCAGACUCCUACGGGAGGCAGCAGUGGGGAAUAUUGGACAAUGGGCGAAAGCCUGAUCCAGCCAUGCCGCGUGUGUGAAGAAGGUCUUCGGAUUGUAAAGCACUUUAAGUUGGGAGGAAGGGCAGUAAGUUAAUACCUUGCUGUUUUGACGUUACCAACAGAAUAAGCACCGGCUAACUUCGUG
RNAcentral lists this ribosomal RNA (484 nucleotides) under uncultured bacterium. RNAcentral describes it as "partial 16S ribosomal RNA". It matches the Rfam family "Bacterial small subunit ribosomal RNA", at positions 38 to 507 of the family's 1533-position model. The record is from RNAcentral.